AACAAACGCUGGCGGCGUGCCUAACACAUGCAAGUCGAACGCGAAAAUCGGCUUCGGCCGAUGAGUAAAGUGGCGCACGGGUGAGUAACGCGUGGAUAAUCUACCCUUCAGUUGGGAAUAACUUAUCGAAAGGUGAGCUAAUACCGAAUAAAACUGCCUGACCACGGUCGGGUAGUCAAAGAUAGCCUCUGCUUGCAAGCUUUCGCUGAAUGAUGAGUCCGCGUACCAUUAGCUAGUUGGUGGGGUAAUGGCCUACCAAGGCGACGAUGGUUAGCUGGUCUGAGAGGAUGAUCAGCCACACUGGAACUGAGACACGGUCCAGACUCCUACGGGAGGCAGCAGUGAGGAAUCUUGCGCAAUGGGGGAAACCCUGACGCAGCAACGCCGCGUGAGUGAGGAAGGUCUUCGGAUCGUAAAGCUCUGUCGGGUGGAAGAAAUGUAUGGGGUUAAUAGCCUUCAUACUUGACGGUACCACCAAAGGAAGCACCGGCUAACUCCG
This 499-nucleotide ribosomal RNA is filed under the name uncultured bacterium. RNAcentral's name for it is "bacterial SSU rRNA". It matches the Rfam family "Bacterial small subunit ribosomal RNA", at positions 29 to 505 of the family's 1533-position model. The record is from RNAcentral.